AAUAAGUGUAGUUUUGUGCUAUUUAUGUCCAACAUUUGACCGUUCGUUUUAUUUGAAAUUUUUUUGUGAUGAGUAUUUUUAUUGUUAUUAGAUGAUAAAACAUGAAUAAUACUUUAUGGGUGUCUAUUUUUUUAAUUUUUUUUAUAAAUUUUUCAAAUAAGACAAACGGUCAAACGCUGGACACGGUUCCUCACGACUGCACUUAUU
Non-coding RNA from Oryza barthii, 207 nucleotides. Lineage: Eukaryota; Viridiplantae; Streptophyta; Magnoliopsida; Poales; Poaceae. The record is from Rfam.